ACGUAGGGACCAAGCGUUGUUCGGAUUUACUGGGCGUAAAGGGCGCGUAGGCGGCCCGCUAAGUCGAACGUGAAAUCCCUGGGCUCAACCCAGGAACUGCGUCCGAUACUGGCAGGCUUGAAUCCGGGAGAGGGAUGUGGAAUUCCAGGUGUAGCGGUGAAAUGCGUAGAUAUCUGGAGGAACACCGGUGGCGAAGGCGGCAUCCUGGACCGGUAUUGACGCUGAUGCGCGAAAGCCAGGGGAGCAAACGGGA
This 253-nucleotide ribosomal RNA is filed under the name uncultured prokaryote. RNAcentral describes it as "partial 16S ribosomal RNA". It matches the Rfam family "Bacterial small subunit ribosomal RNA", at positions 525 to 777 of the family's 1533-position model. The record is from RNAcentral.